GAUGAACGCUGGCGGCGUGCCUAACACAUGCAAGUCGAACGAAGUGGAGGUCUUCGGACUGAAACUUAGUGGCGGACGGGUGAGUAACGCGUGGGUAACCUGCCUUGGUACAGGGGGAUAACAGAUGGAAACGUCUGCUAAUACCGCAUAAGCGCACAGUACCGCAUGGUACAGUGUGAAAAGCCUUGACGGUACAAGAUGGACCCGCGUCUGAUUAGCUAGUUGGUGGGGUAAAGGCCUACCAAGGCGACGAUGCGUAGCCGAACUGAGAGGUUGAUCGGCCACAUUGGGACUGAGACACGGCCCAGACUCCUACGGGAGGCAGCAGUGGGGGAUAUUGCGCAAUGGGGGAAACCCUGACGCAGCAACGCCGCGUGAAGGAUGAAGGCCUUCGGGUUGUAAACUUUUGUCGCAAGGGAAGAAGACAGUGACGGUACCUUGUGAGAAAGCCACGGCUAACUCCGUG
RNAcentral lists this ribosomal RNA (466 nucleotides) under uncultured bacterium. Its description in RNAcentral is "bacterial SSU rRNA". It matches the Rfam family "Bacterial small subunit ribosomal RNA", at positions 28 to 507 of the family's 1533-position model. The record is from RNAcentral.